This 325-nucleotide ribosomal RNA is filed under the name uncultured eukaryote. RNAcentral describes it as "partial 18S ribosomal RNA". It matches the Rfam family "Eukaryotic small subunit ribosomal RNA", at positions 1470 to 1796 of the family's 1831-position model. The record is from RNAcentral.
CCCUUAGAUGUUCUGGGCCGCACGCGCGCUACACUGAUGCAUUCAACGAGCCUAUCCUUGACCGACAGGUCCGGGUAAUCUUUGAAUCUGCAUCGUGACGGGGAUAGAUUAUUGCAAUUAUUAAUCUUCAACGAGGAAUGCCUAGUAGGCGCAAGUCAUCAGCUUGCGUCGAUUACGUCCCUGCCCUUUGUACACACCGCCCGUCGCUCCUACCGAUUUGGUGUGCUGGUGAAAUGUUCGGAUCGGCCGUUUGUCGCGGUUUCCGCGUCAUGUGGCUGAGAAGUUCAUUAAACCCUCCCACCUAGAGGAAGGAGAAGUCGUAACA